CCAAGGUAAGGGUGAGAUAAAUCCUAAGGGACUAGGAUAAAAUUCAAAGAGAUAAAAGAGACUUGAAAGAAACCGCAGGAGUUGAAUUUACAAAAGAUUUCAUUUACUUGAACAACUCUAUAGCAAUUGUUUUCUCUUCUCCUUUCUCUUUUUAUUCUUUUUUUUCUUUUUCAGAAGGAGUAUGUAUUGAUUGACAUCCUUCUAUUUUUUUCAUUCAUU
RNAcentral lists this long non-coding RNA (219 nucleotides) under Lathyrus oleraceus (garden pea). Its description in RNAcentral is "Pisum sativum (pea) long non-coding RNA (PSAT_LNC012574)". Lineage: Eukaryota; Viridiplantae; Streptophyta; Magnoliopsida; Fabales; Fabaceae. The record is from RNAcentral.